This 468-nucleotide ribosomal RNA is filed under the name uncultured bacterium. RNAcentral describes it as "partial 16S ribosomal RNA". It matches the Rfam family "Bacterial small subunit ribosomal RNA", at positions 28 to 507 of the family's 1533-position model. The record is from RNAcentral.
GACGAACGCUGGCGGCGUGCUUAACACAUGCAAGUCGAACGGAAAGGCCCUGCUUUUGUGGGGUGCUCGAUUGGCGAACGGGUGAGUAACACGUGAGUAACCUGCCCUUGACUUUGGGAUAACUUCAGGGAACUGGGGCUAAUACCGGAUAGGAGCUCCUGCUGCAUGGUGGGGGUUGGAAAGUUUCGGCGGUUGGGGAUGGAUUGGCGGCUUAUCGGCUUGUUGGUGGGGUAGUGGUUUACCAAGUCUUUGACGGGUAGCCGGCCUGAGAGGGUGACCAGCGACAUGGCGACUGAGAUAGGCAGCAGACUGCAAUGUGACGCAGUAGUGGGGAAUCUUGCGGAACGAGCGGAAGUCAGAUAUAGCAAUGCUGCGUGCGUGAUGACGGGUUACUGGUGGAAAACAGCUGUGGACGGUGCUGAAGAGUUAGUGACGGUAAUUGGUAAGGAAGCAACGGCUAACUACGUG